GGCGGACGGGUGAGGAAUACGUAGGAAUCUGCCCUUAAGUGGGGGAUAACCCGGGGAAACCCGGAUUAAUACCGCAUGAUCUCGAAAGAGCAAAGCAGGGGAUCGCAAGACCUUGCGCUUUUGGAGGAGCCUACGUCGGAUUAGCUAGUUGGUGAGGUAAAGGCUCACCAAGGCGACGAUCCGUAACUGGUCUGAGAGGAUGAUCAGUCACACCGGAACUGAGACACGGUCCGGACUCCUACGGGAGGCAGCAGUGGGGAAUAUUGGACAAUGGGCGAAAGCCUGAUCCAGCAAUGCCGCGUGUGUGAAGAAGGCCUUCGGGUUGUAAAGCACUUUAAGUUGGGAAGAAAAAACUUCGUUUAAUACAUGAAGUCUUGACGGUACCGACAGAAUAAGCACCGGCUAACUCUGUGCCAGCAGCCGCGGUAAUACAGAGGGUGCUAGCGUUAAUCGGAUUUACUGGGCGUAAAGCGUGCGUAGGUGGCGAUUUAAGUCGGAUGUGAAAGCCCUGGGCUUAACCUGGGAACGGCAUUCGAUACUGGAUGGCUAGAGAUCGGUAGAGGGCAGCGGAAUUCCGGGUGUAGCGGUGAAAUGCGUAGAUAUCCGGAGGAACACCGAUGGCGAAGGCAACUGCCUGGGCCUGAUCUGACACUGAGGCACGAAAGCGUGGGUAGCAAACAGGAUUAGAUACCCUGGUAGUCCACGCUGUAAACGAUGAGAACUUGACGUCUGCUUGCUAUGCGAGUAGGUGUCGUAGCUAACGCGAUAAGUUCCUCCGCCUGGGGAGUACGGCCGCAAGGUUGAAACUCAAAGGAAUUGACGGGGGCCCGCACAAGCGGUGGAGUAUGUGGUUUAUUUCGAUGCAACGCGAAGAACCUUACCUGGUCUUGACAAUGUCUGGAAGUCUGCAGAGAUGCGGAUGUGCCUUCGGGAUCCAGAACACAGUGCUGCAUGGCUGUCGUCAGCUCGUGUCGUGAGAUGUUGGGUUAAGUUCCCGCCACGACGGCACACUUUGCCUUUAAGUUGCCAUCCAUUGAGUUGGCACUCUAAAGG
This 1053-nucleotide ribosomal RNA is filed under the name uncultured bacterium. Its description in RNAcentral is "bacterial SSU rRNA". It matches the Rfam family "Bacterial small subunit ribosomal RNA", at positions 97 to 1146 of the family's 1533-position model. The record is from RNAcentral.